Molecule: ribosomal RNA, 497 nt
Filed under: uncultured bacterium
Lineage: Bacteria
Description: partial 16S ribosomal RNA
Rfam family: Bacterial small subunit ribosomal RNA
Source: RNAcentral
GAUGAACGCUGGCGGCGUGCCUAAUACAUGCAAGUCGAGCGAACAGACGAGGAGCUUGCUCCUCUAACGUUAGCGGCGGACGGGUGAGUAACACGUGGAUAACCUACCUAUAAGACUGGGAUAACUUCGGGAAACCGGAGCUAAUACCGGAUAAUAUAUUGAACCGCAUGGUUCAAUAGUGAAAGACGGUUUUGCUGUCACUUAUAGAUGGAUCCGCGCCGCAUUAGCUAGUUGGUAAGGUAACAGCUUACCAAGGCAACGAUGCGUAGCCGACCUGAGAGGGUGAUCGGCCACACGGGAACUGAGACACGGCACAGACUCCUACGGGAGGCAGCAGUAGGGAAUCUUCCGCGAUGGGCGAAAGCCUGACGGAGCAACGCCGCGUGAGUGAUGAAGGUCUUCGGAUCGUAAAACUCUGUUAUUAGGGAAGAACAAAUGUGUAAGUAACUAUGCACGUCUUGACGGUACCUAAUCAGAAAGCCACGGCUAACUCCGUG